AAAGCCAUAUCUGGCAGUCGAACGAGAGACCUUCGGGUCUCUAGUGGCGAACGGGUGAGUAACACGUAGGGAACCUGCCCGCGCACCGGGAAUACGCUCUGGAAACGGAGAACAAAUCCCGAUGUACAGGAAGGAGGCAUCUUCUUUCUGUGAAACAUCCUCUAGGGGAUGGGGCGCGGAUGGACCUGCGGUGCAUUAGUUGGUUGGCGGGGUAAAGGCCCACCAAGACGAUGAUGCAUAGCCGGCCUGAGAGGGCGGACGGCCACAUUGGGACUGAGACACGGCCCAGACUCCUGCGGGAGGCAGCAGUAGGGAAUUUUCGUCAAUGGGCGCAAGCCUGAACGAGCGAUGCCGCGUGAGUGAAGAAGGCCUUCGGGUCGUAAAGCUCUGUUGCGGGGGAAAAAAGGCAGCAUCAGGAAAUGGGUGCUGACUGAUGGUGCCCCGCCAGAAAGUCACGGCUAACUACGUGCCAGCAGCCGCGGUAAUACGUAGGUGGCGAGCGUUAUCCGGAAUGAUUGGGCGUAAAGGGGGCCCAGGCGGCCUGGCAGUCCGGAAGGGAAACCCAGGACCUCACUUCUGGCUGGGUUUUGAAACUGGAAGAAUGGAAAACAAGAAAAGGGGGGGGAACUUCCUGGGGAACGGGUAAAUGGCUAAAAUAUAGGGAGAACCACCAUGGCGAAAGGGGGCGGCUGGGCUCGUGGUUAACCUGGAGGAACAAAACGGGGGGAACCAAAUAGAAUAAAAUACCUAAUAAGCCACGGCGGAAACCAAGGAGGACAAAUGGUUGGGGGUAAAACUUC
RNAcentral lists this ribosomal RNA (800 nucleotides) under uncultured bacterium. Its description in RNAcentral is "bacterial SSU rRNA". It matches the Rfam family "Bacterial small subunit ribosomal RNA", at positions 43 to 839 of the family's 1533-position model. The record is from RNAcentral.